AAAAAAAAAAAAAAAAAAUCUGUUCUUAUCAGUUUAAUAUCUGAUACGUCCCCUAUCUGGGGACCAUAUAUUAAAUGGAUUUUUGGAACAGGGAGAUGGAAGAAGAGCUUGCUCUGUCCACUCCACGCAUCGACCUGGUAUUGCAGUACCUCCAGGACCGGUGCACCUCUC
Molecule: small nuclear RNA, 171 nt
Organism: Xenopus tropicalis (tropical clawed frog)
Lineage: Eukaryota; Metazoa; Chordata; Amphibia; Anura; Pipidae
Gene: U2
Rfam family: U2 spliceosomal RNA
About the family: U2 is a small nuclear RNA (snRNA) component of the spliceosome (involved in pre-mRNA splicing).
Source: Ensembl